UCAGACUUUAAGCUCAAAUAUAAGUGCGAAUUACAGGCAGCAUCAAUUGUGAACAACAAGGCUAAAAUUUGCACAGAGAAUAUGUUGUCGCAAGUUUAAAACAUAUGUUUUUUCCCGUUUCAGCACAAAACUUGGAAAAUACACAGUCGGAUUGAGGAGAAAACAAGUCUAUAAGAUUAGUUCUAUCAAUUGUUCAUUAUUCUAUUAGCAACUAAAAUAGAGAGAUGGAUAGAUAUAUAGAGAAACAAUACCUAAUCAGACCCCCCAAACAUCGUGAGGCAAUAUAAAAUGUCUGAAAAAAUAUAGUUCUCUGAAAUAUUGCAAGGGAGCCCCAAGACAUUGACAUUCUAAAUUGCUUAGAGCUUAAAUGCUUAAUACAAUCAUGCUUCUCCAUUUUGAGCCAAUCCACCUAACGUGGACUACUUCAUUAAUACAUGCAAUCAUUCUAGAUAGCCUGCAAAAUAAGAAGUAAAAGUCAGUAAAUAUUGUACAAAUAAAUUUUUUAGUUGGAUUGAAAGGCUCAAAUUAAAAAUCAACAAAUAUAUGCAGGGUUAUUUCAUACUGCUAGUUUAUUGGGCAACAUUAAUCUCCUUGUCGGCAUAUAAUGUAUAAUCCAAAAUCAUAUUACCAAUUUUGGGGCAACUUUAUACUACUUGCGAAUAUAAAGAAUAUGAUUAACUAACAAAUAUUGGAUUGUAACAGAUGUGAAAAAAAAUACUUCUAUGCUUCAGCGAAUCAUAUGGUGUGAGUAUCGUCUGAAAGCUUUUAGGAUAAAUAUAAGGAUAGAAGGCUGUUUUGUUCAAGGAAACAGAAUGACUCUCCUUACACCAAGUCUAAGUUCAUCAUCAUUCAUCAUUGUUACAUGUAUAAAACGGGGAAAUACACAAUGAAUAAGAGGAAUAAGGAUAAAGAGCUGUUAACUUCACCGCACUGUUCAUCACACUGGAGCAGCCACACACUUGUACCCGGCACUACUGCGUGUCAAUGCAGAUUAGAGAGAUAUAUAGUUUAGGAUCCAGAGAUGGAAGAAGAUACCUGGGCCGACACUGCUCUCGUUGAUUCAAAAAUCCCUAGGACCAUCCCCAGUAGCGGGCCCACUCAUCCUCUUCAAGGCUGCCUACCGCCUCGCGCUACUCCUUUUCUCGCUUAUCUCCACCGGCGCUCACCUUUCCGCUGGUGCCAUCCAUCAUGCCCUUCGUCUGACAACAAAAAUAAUUUGUUGUGAAUAUAUAUUGCCAAUUAGGCAUGAACAAUCAUUGCAAACUCAAAAUUCGAUUACUGUAAAAGAAGGAGCUCGAUAUCAGGUUACUUGAUCUUUCGUAGAGAAAAACAAAAUACUAAACCAAACUUUGCUAGAACAGCAGGAGAUCAGCCCAAAUAGCUGCUCCAUCACCAUAUGCAUAUUUAUAAGAUAAUUAAAUAUUCUGAUUCAUCUCCAUGGGCAUCAAGUUUCAUUAUAAGGGUUCAGAUUUAUUUUAGGGCAGAGAGACUUUAGAUGGUUUCUAUCUCCCUAAAUUCUAACCCCAAUGUGCAUCUAUGUCCCUGUUUCUUACAUCCUCACUCAUCGACCAGAUCAAGAAGAAGCACCCAGAUCAUGAUUCAAGUAUUUUAAAUUCAAAAGACAAAAAAUUAACAUCAAAAUAAUCUCGAAUAACAAUGGCACCACCAAUACCAAAAUUGAGAAGUACGCUAGAUGGUCUCUCCGAAUUUGUGAGAUUUCCAUAUAUCUAGAUCUUAUGUACACGGGCUCAUGUCUAGAUCACUUUCAUCAAAUACUCAUCAUCAACUUAAAACUCCGCCUAUGUCUUCUAGGCAUAGCCGGUUCCAAGCCCGGGUAAAGGAGGAGGGUUGUGAAAGGCUUGGCGAGCCAACGUAAAAACUAGCCAGUCCCAUAGGUAUGAAACCCAUUUGAGCGAGAAUAGUACUAGGAUGGGUGACCUCCUAGGAAGUCCUCGUGAAAGGGUUUCAUAUCUAAGGGUUGUGAUAGGCUUGGCGAGCCAACGUAAAAACUAGCCAGUCUUUUGGGUAUGAAACCCAUUUGGGCGAGAGUAGUACUAGGAUGGGUGACCUCCUGGGAAGUCCUCGUGAAAGGGUUUCAUAUCUAGCCUACCCCAACUUGUUUGGGAUAAAAGGCUUCGUAAGUAAGUACUCAUCAUCAACUUAACUUGGAUAGUUGGUCACAUGUGCCAUGGAUAGUUGGCCACAUGUGCCAUGUAGUACGUCUAGAUCACUUGUUAGGCGUAUUUAGGACUGCUCUCAAUGUACAGGUAGCCACUCCUAUAUGUACAGGUACCUCACCGUACCGCUUCUCACCGUACAGGUAGCCCCCUCACUACACAGCAGCCGAUCACACAAGCCGCUUGUCCCCACCACGGCGUUGCUCUGCCGACCUCCUCUCCCGUCAGCCUCCACAGCCUCGUGCCCAUGUCCUCUCCCCACCAUGGCCUCACGCCACCCCGCCAUGGUCCCGCCCCACAACCAACUUCGUCGGUAUCACAGAGAUCGAUGUCGUUGCUGGCGUCCAUCCUCGGCGACGACGACCUGGCAUGGCUCUAGGCCAAGGCGGUUGCCGAGGCAAAGAAUCUCUGCCUGGCCGCCUAGAAGGGCAUGCAGCUGGCGGCCAAGCUGCCGUCCAAGCACACUCCACCUGUGGUCUUCCUGCAGGUCGUAUUAUGGCUGAAGAUACUAAAGAUACCAAAGAUAAACGUAGAAACUUUAAAAAGAUCAUCUCAACAAGGUAUGCAAGUAAUUUCUUUUGGGUGUUUGAAUUGCCACAUCUUGGAUUUUGUUUUCAGUCCAUUAUAUAUUCUAGGGACAAACUUCAUCUCAUUUCAUAGACCAAAUAAUAUUUAACUACAGGACCAGAUUCGCGUAAACUAAUUUGCAAGGUUUAUUCGAUUUUGUGCAUGACAAGGGGCAAGUAGAAUUUUUUCUGUAUGCACUUAGCAAGAUUAAAGUAACAGGCACAAAGUGAAUCAAGUGUCUUAACAAGCAAUUUAAAAGUGAAAGUAGAUAAACAACUUACUAAUCCACAUAGAAGAGUGUUGAGUAUUGAAAUUUGAUUUGCCGCAUUGCAAUGGUCCGCUAUGGUCCUGCAGUAAUAUGUGUAUGACAGCAAAAGGAUUUUCAAAUUAGCAUGUACACUAACUUAUCCAUUAUAAUUCGAUAUAUUAUAUGAGAUAACUUGAACAUCUCUAGAAAUCAGUGUGGAAUAAAUAUAACAACCAAAUCGCACGUGUGGAUUUUCAUAUGCACAUUCCCAGACGCUACAAACUUGAUCAGAGCCGAGAGCAAGGAAAUGCAUAUCACAGUUUCAAUGACCGCUAGGAGAACCCUCUCCACAUCGGCGUGUUGAGAGACUUGAGAUAUUAAUUUUGCAGGCACUCCACACAAGCACAUGCAUGUUAUGUUAGCAGAGUAGAAGAGCCAUCAUCUUAAGUUAGGGUAUACAUUAUCAUUUUGGGUAUGAUCAAAUGGAAAUACCUGCUCAUGUCGUCCUCUGAUCCACUCAUCCAAAUCAUCCUACAAAGCUCAUGCAUAAUGGUUUAAGAAAUAAAGUAUAUAUGCUCAAAGGACGAGAUUGAUAGCUAACAAAUAGUUGAUGCUUACAAUUAGCUUGUGGUCUCCUCCUCCAACAUGUGUUUCCUGUUUGAGCGUUGUGAAAGGUCAGGAGGUCCAGGCAGGUCAAGGCGAUGGCCACCUUCAACUUUGGCAAUGCAAACCCCCUCUCGAUGGCCCUCUCCACAACAUCAUCCAUCCGCGUGUUGAGAGACUUGAGCUAUUAAUUUUGGAGGCACUCCACACAAGCACAUGCAUGUUAUGUUAGCAGAGUAGAAGAGCCAUCAUCUUAAGUUAGUGUAUACAUUAUCAUUUUGGGUAUGAUCAAAUGGAAAUACC
This 3897-nucleotide long non-coding RNA is filed under the name Triticum aestivum (bread wheat). Lineage: Eukaryota; Viridiplantae; Streptophyta; Magnoliopsida; Poales; Poaceae. The record is from RNAcentral.